Molecule: non-coding RNA, 85 nt
Organism: Paramuricea clavata
Lineage: Eukaryota; Metazoa; Cnidaria; Anthozoa; Malacalcyonacea; Plexauridae
Source: the annotation of a GenBank genome assembly
GGCGGUGUGGCGGAAAUGGAUACGCGUUAGGUCCCUAUGGGAAAAAAGUCCUAAGUCAAUGGGGGUUCGAAUCCCUCCUAAGUUG